UGGGGGCUGGAGAGAUGAUUUGAGCCAGGUGUGGGGGAUUUAAUUAAUUAAGUAGUUUGCUGUGUUUGGAGCUGGGGCUUGAGUGCAGCAGUCUGCAGGAGAGAAGUUCUCAAGCGUUUGUUGUUGAUUGCUGUGCAAAUAUUUUGCCAAGUCCACUUCUGGGUCUGCCGCUGAGCAUGCUGGAGAGCCCCCCGUGCUCCUGUGAGAUGCCCCAUCCACCCCACCAGCUCAACGCUCACGAGCUGUACCUGGGACCUCAAGGAUGCUGAUUCUACACAAGUGGCCUCCCUUUGGACAAUUCUAGAUUUAGGAGAUUAACAGAUCCCCAAAUACGUGGAAUUCAGUUCUCUUCCUCUUCCACUUCUUCCAGAAGACCACCUUCUUUUGAGUGUUGCUGCAGGAAAGCACAGAAAUAACAAGCAGCAAAAAGCACAAAUAACAGAGUCCAGAGCCGUGGAAGACAAGU
Alligator mississippiensis (American alligator) is the source of this 466-nucleotide long non-coding RNA. RefSeq lists it as uncharacterized. The transcript has 4 exons. NCBI's taxonomy places the organism in Eukaryota, Metazoa, Chordata, Crocodylia, Alligatoridae. The record is from RefSeq and is a predicted model, not a curated record.